This is a non-coding RNA of Caenorhabditis elegans, 147 nucleotides long. NCBI's taxonomy places the organism in Eukaryota, Metazoa, Nematoda, Chromadorea, Rhabditida, Rhabditidae. The record is from Ensembl.
UCACUCAAUGCUUUAUUCUAUAGGGUUACGAUUUUCCAAAAAUUUUGCAGUUUACCUCACUUUCGACUGAAAAUUUUGAAGUUGUCUGAAGCAUUUUGAAGUUCUGAUAGAGUAGUAAUUUAGGUUUCACCCAACUCUUGCCAAGCU